CCUGACUGCUAUCGGAUUGAUACUAAGCCAUGCGAGUCAUUGUAGCAAUACAAGGCAUACGGCUCAGUAACGCGUAGUCAACCUAACCUAUGGACGGGAAUAACCUCGGGAAACUGAGAAUAAUGCCCGAUAGAACACUAUACCUGGAAUGGUUUGUGUUCCAAAUGAUUUAUCGCCAUAGGAUGGGACUGCGGCCUAUCAGUUUGUUGGUGAGGUAAUGGCCCACCAAGACUAUUACAGGUACGGGCUCUGAGAGGAGUAGCCCGGAGAUGGGUACUGAGACACGGACCCAGGCCCUAUGGGGCGCAGCAGGCGAGAAAACUUUGCAAUGUGCGAAAGCACGACAAGGUUAAUCCGAGUGAUUUGUGCUAAACGAAUCUUUUGUUAGUCCUAGAAACACUAACGAAUAAGGGGUGGGCAAGUUCUGGUGUCAGCCGCCGCGGUAAAACCAGCACCUCAAGUGGUCAGGAUGAUUAUUGGGCCUAAAGCAUCCGUAGCCGGCUCUGUAAGUUUUCGGUUAAAUCUGUACGCUUAACGUACAGGCUGCCGGGAAUACUGCAGAGCUAGGGAGUGGGAGAGGUAGACGGUACUCGGUAGGAAGUGGUAAAAUGCUUUGAUCUAUCGAUGACCACCUGUGGCGAAGGCGGUCUACCAGAACACGUCCGACGGUGAGGGAUGAAAGCUGGGGGAGCAAACCGGAUUAGAUACCCGGGUAGUCCCAGCUGUAAACUAUGCAAACUCAGUGAUGCAUUGGCUUGUGGCCAAUGCAGUGCUGUAGGGAAGCCGUUAAGUUUGCCGCCUGGGAAGUACGUACGCAAGUAUGAAACUUAAAGGAAUUGGCGGGGGAGCACCACAAGGGGUGAAGCCUGCGGUUC
This 875-nucleotide ribosomal RNA is filed under the name uncultured marine group I thaumarchaeote. RNAcentral describes it as "bacterial SSU rRNA". It matches the Rfam family "Archaeal small subunit ribosomal RNA", at positions 21 to 903 of the family's 1478-position model. Lineage: Archaea; Thermoproteati; Nitrososphaerota. The record is from RNAcentral.